GUGAUUAGCCUUUGCUUAUGCAAAGAGGAAUCUACAAAGGUAUAAUUUCAACUCACUUUGUUUUGAGUUGAGUUUUGGUUCACCAAUCUACUAGGCUUUGAAUUUCAUGGGUAAUGUUUUGUUUUGAAUGCAUGCAAGCAUGAUUCCGCAUUUUAAUUGUUAAUUGCAUGCUAUAGAUGUUAUUCAAAUGAACAUGUUUUCACAAAAUCAUCCUUCAACUAAAACAAAAGACAUGAAAAAGAAACAACGGGGGAUUAGCAAAGUUGCUAAUCCCCGGCAACGGCGCCAAAAAUUUGAUGCGAAAAUUAUCUUAACACACAAAUAAAACCCUCUUGUUGUCAAUUGUAGUAAAGAAUUAAGUAGGGAUCGUUCUAGGCCGGGGAUUAGGAGGGAUUGCUAAAACACUUGAAACUGACUUAAAAACGUAAAAUUAAGUUUAAAACACCAAACUAGGCUCAAAAGAUGCAAUACAAACUAAAAUGACUCAAAACUAGUUUAAAAGACUCAAAACUGCUUAAAACACUGAAUUAGACUCUAAACUGACUCUAGGGAUGGUUUUGGACGAAAUUAGGUUCUAACUUGACUCAAGACACUUAAAAACACAAAUCAAAACAGAUUUUGACUAAUAAAACACUUUAAAGUAAAGGGGGAUUUGAUUUUGAUAAAUUUGAAAACAAAACAAACAAAUUGUAAACUAAUUUGGGUAAACUAUGGAUGAUGGGGGCUAGCUAGAGGGUUCUUUUCCACACAUGACAAACUUGCACAUAAACCAAUUUUCAAUUGUUCUUUUGAUAAAUCAUGAAACUCAACACCCUAGGUUAAUUAAGUCCGCUUAAAUUAACCUUCAAGUUCUCCUUAAGUUAUUGCAUUGGAUGGGAAAGCACAUACAACAAUUCAAGCAUUCUUCAAAAGUCCUUUACAUGAAGAGCGCAAUAAAGAUACAAUCAAAGAUCAUUAAGCAUUAUGAAAGCUAUAAGUAUUGACAAGGCAUUCGUUACUAUGAUGAGCAUGAAACUUCUGCCAAGAAUUUAUUUAACGCGAUCGUUUAUAAGCGACCUCCACUACUUGUGAAUAUAAGUUUGUAACUAUUAGGUGAAACUCCCUUAUACUCUAGCAUCAUAUUCAUGCAUGCAAACUAAGUGUGCACUCUUAAUAAACAUACACAAAUAAGUUAUCAAUCAAGCAGUUAAACAAAUUGAAUUCACAACUUAUGAAAUCACAACUGAAGGUAAUCAAAUCAUAUUGCAAGCAUGAACAUGGUUUCGAAUUCCCCCCCUAGUUAAGGGGGGUUUAGUUCCUCAUACUUACAAAGAAAAAAUAAACAAAUUUAGACAUUGAAAACAAAAGAAAGAAAACACGUAAACGCUCCAACGAUCCAAGUUGGACAACAAGCAUGUCCAAGCACUUUCCUUCCCUUCCUUUGCUACGGCACAAGGUGUUGGUGAGUGUUUGAAGGGUUGGUUGUAUGGAGGAAUGGAUGGUGCUCACGGCCAAGGAAUGAAAGUGUAAGUGUAUUGAGUUGUGAGAUGUGAAUGUAGUGUCUUUGGAUGGAUCUUUUCUCCUCCCUUUGUUAUGGUGAAGGGUGGAUGUAUUUAUAGGCUAGGGAGAGGACCACCAUCUAAUUAAGGUGGUAGUGGUGUAUGUUGUGGUAAUGAGUGGAUGUAAUGGGUGUAGUGGGUGAGUGUUGUGGUAAUGAGUGGAUGUGAUAGGUGUAGUGGAUAAGUGUUUGGUAAUGAGUGGAUGUAAUGGGUGUAGUGGAUGGAUGUUUGUAGUUGUAGGUCACACACUUGCACACACACAUGCUGAUUUCUAGCCUUCGAAUCUUCAAAAACGUCCAUCCUUAUGUCUCCGUGCUUGCACUAUCCAAUCUUGGCCCAAAAAUGCUCCAAAUUUGCUCCAAAUAGCACUUUGUUGCCAACUUUGUUAUUUGAACUUACAAACACACGAAAAUAGCUUAAAGUACUAUCAUGUCCUAUCAUGUCCCUACAUAUGGUGUGUCCUAUGGGCAAGGAUAUCCAACUUAUCAAUGUUCUCAAUUCGCUGCGAAUGAAGAUGCUUGGGGUUAUCAAGGCCAUAGCCAAUAAUGGGACAACAUGUUUUCCAAUGCUUACAAUUCGGAUUGGAGAGAUUAUUCAGAUUACAUGUGGGGAGAACCUCAACAAUUCCAACAAGAUGGGUAUUAGCAGCAAGAAGAGGAGUUAUAUUCAAGACCUAUGCAGCCACUGAAGGAAAUUUUGUGAAAAACAUGUUCAUUUAAGCAACAUCUAUAACAUGCAAUUAACAAUUAAAAGGCGGAAUCAUGCUUACAUGCACUUAAAAACAAAACAUUAACCAUGAAAUUCAAAGCCUAGUAGAUUGGUGAACCAAGACUCAACUCAAAUCAAAGUGAGUUGAGUAAUUUAUACCUUUGUUGAUUCCUCUUUGCAUAAGCAAAGGCUAAUCACCCAAGGAGAGGGCCUUCAUUCCUUGCUUCUUAGAUCCAUGGAUUUGGAUGGAAGAAUAUGUUUCUCCAAGUUCUCAAAAUUGAGAACCUCUAAGUCUCUACACCAAGGUAAGAUUGAUGAAGAAAUGAGUGACCUUGGAGGAGAAAGAUUACUAGCUAAUCCCCUCCAAGGGGGCCGGCCUCUUUAGAG
Molecule: long non-coding RNA, 2633 nt
Filed under: Malus domestica (apple)
Lineage: Eukaryota; Viridiplantae; Streptophyta; Magnoliopsida; Rosales; Rosaceae
Description: long non-coding RNA (MDOM_LNC019762)
Source: RNAcentral